GGAAACUGAGAAGCUGCCCUUGGUCUGAGCUCGAUGGGCUUCAGCCAGAGACUAAAAUCAUUAACGAACAGCUUGGAAAUAUCAACUUAAAGGGAUUUCUUACCAUAAACAGCCAACCAGCUGUAAAUGGGGCAAAAUCUGACUCUCCCUCUAUUGGUAAGUGACAUUAUUGUGUGAUGCUUUCUAUAUCUCUAAAACAUGAUCAAACAUACAUGUGUACUGGUGCGCUCGCACACACACACACACAUAUGUAUUAUAUUCAAUGGAGACCACUCCUAAAUUGGAGAUUUGGAGACCUUUAGAAUAGCCGAUAGAUUAGAUGUAAUUAUAACAAAAUGAAUGUUCAAGAUCAAUUCUAAAAUAUAUUUUCUUGUCUUUCUUCCUCAUCUACACGUUUCUGUACAGCAAUAUACAAAUGCCCCUCUCUCUCCUUAAUCGUCUUUAUUCCCCUAGAUCUACAUAAUUUUUAUAGUCAAUCAUCAAUUAAUCACAGAACAAUUAGCGAUCACACUCUUCCAGUUCUCUUACAAUAUAUUCUUAUCACAACCUCUAUAAUGACACACAUUAAAGAUGUUGAUAGGUGAAGUUCCGUGUCACGUGAUUUUCUCCGCAGAACCAGGUUCUGUUAAAAACUUGAUUAUAUCCUGUGUAGUAAUGUGGUGUGAGUGAUGGUUGAAAGUAGAUUGAAUCAAUUGUUUCGCAUUGAACAAUGCAAAACAAUAUGUUGUAUGGCAAGUGAACAUGUUCUGCAUUUGAACACAGUUUGUUUAUUUUCUUUCCACUAUUCUCUUGAUUUGUAAGGUGUGGAAGUGAUGGAUGAUUAGAUAUGAAAAAAUUUGAUAAAAAAAAAAAAAAUUACAGAUGUGAUGUCCUGGAAACAAAACACUAUACUCUUCUUAUGUUUAAUGCAAGCAAAUAUGCAAAACACAAAAUUCUACUUAAAGGAUAAUAUGUUUUGCAUGCACUAUGUCGUAUAGUUUUGGAAUGUGAAUAAAUAUCUAGAAAAGAAAACUCGCUGGGAAAAAUGGUGCAGUUAGGUAACAGCUUUCACUGAUGACAAAUCUUUGUAUAUAUUCACUUGACAAAGUUCAGUUAUUUUACUAUUUAUGUUAAUUAUUAUUUUAUUAGGUGUCUCCAAAGAAUCCAAUAUAUUAGGGUCUUCAUAGAACCCAUACGUGUGUAUAGUGUAUUGAUUUUCCAAAUUAAAUCGGUCUCCAUGGAACCCAUAUGUGUGUAUAGUGUAUUUAUUUUCCAAAUUAAACCUAAAAAAUAUAUUUAUAUUUAGUUAUUCAUCUGCCUUGUGUCUAUCUAUAUAAAAGGGUCCUCUUUGGGGUGCCACCCAUAUAUGUUUGUGUAUAUAUUCUCAUAUAUUAUAGUAAACAGUUACACAUAUAAUGCACUAGUUUAACAUAAUUAUAUAAAUUUAGGCAUUGAAGCUUGGGGAGGUUGGUGGUCCUCAUUGAGAACCCUUCAGUUAGUGUAAGAGGCUCUAUAGACAUAAUUGACCUCACUCUUUUGUAAUAUGCUUUGCAGGAUGGGGUGGCCCAGGUGGCUAUAUCUAUCAAAAGGCUUAUGUCGAGUUUUUCUGCUCCACUGAUAAGUUGAAUGCUCUGGUUGAGAAAUGCAAGGGCUUUUCAUCCCUCACCUACAUGGCUGUGAAUCAAGAAGGGAGUUGGAUUUCCAACAUAAAGCAAACUGAUGUGAAUGCUGUAACAUGGGGUGUGUUCCCUGCAAAGGAGGUCAUACAACCAACUGUUGUAGAUCCUUCCAGCUUCCUCGUGUGGAAGGACGAGG
RNAcentral lists this long non-coding RNA (1794 nucleotides) under Daucus carota (carrot). Its description in RNAcentral is "long non-coding RNA (DCAR_LNC001147)". The record is from RNAcentral. Lineage: Eukaryota; Viridiplantae; Streptophyta; Magnoliopsida; Apiales; Apiaceae.